GGAAAACGAAAAGAAGAAGAGAAGAAAAAACAUGGCGGCCGCUGCCUCCGGUCUCCAGUCUGGGACUCCGUUUCGAAAUUAAGGAGGGAAAAGUGGCGGCGGAACCCUUCCGCUCCGGCUCCGGCUCCGGUGUCGGCGGCGGCGGCGGCGAUCGGCGGCCAAGCAUGUCCACCUUCGCCAGAUACACCAAGGAGCUCCGCGAGCUCAUCGCGGGGUCCUCGACCACAGGCCCCUCCUCCGUCCACUACGAGGACAAGCUCCGGGAGGUCCUCUCCAUCCUCCUCCGCGACCACGUCCUACCCUCCCCCACCGCGAACAAGAGGGAGACCACCGUGGUUCUGAAGCUGCUCGACUACACGGCGCGCCGGAACCCCGGGGUCUUCUUCAAUGGCCGCGCCGCCGAGGUCAUCCGCGUCAUCGGCCGCAUCUUCCCCUUCUUCGCUGACCCCGACUUCGGGUCGAUCACAUUCGACGCGGUUUGGUCUCUUCUCUCACUUCUCCGCACAGGUGACAGAGAAGCCUACAGGCAGUUCUUCUUGGAUUCCAUGGUUGCAAUAGAAGAUGUACUAUAUGUAGCAUCAAAGCGUGCGGAAAAGCCAUGUGGUGUACUUUCCAGAUGCCUUGUUAAAUGCCUCUGUGGUUCCUUCUCAGAUAUUUUGGAAUUCCCUGGUUUUUUUAGUGAGCUCCCAGACAGUUGCCAGCCUAAGAAUGGACCUGGUGUGCUGGUUGAUCUGACUGGUGAUAUGAGGUGGCGUCCAUUUGUCACUUCAUUGAUUACACUCAUCAACAAAUGUCUUACAGAUGGGACCCUCUAUGUUGAAGGGCUUGUUAGCAUGCAAUUUGUUUCCUCUGCUUGUUCUAUCCUCUGCUAUGGGGAUGAAUCCUUGCACAAGGUUUGUUUUGAUUUUGCACGGAUUGUUGCAACAGUGAUGAAAGUUGAGAUUCUUCCUAUGGAAACGAUUAUUCGUUCAAUCACAUGUAUUCUGAACCAAGAUGUUGAUGACCUUUCCAUGUUUAGAGAUGCAGAUUAUGACUUUUCAAUGGGUGCCUGCCUCCAUGCUCUUCAUUCUUCAUGCCCUGCUUGCAUUGUUGAGUCUACGGCUGUUGACAUUGUCAAUGUUUUUGCAAGCGCAAUGCAGACCAGUAAAAGUUCAGAGCUUCAGGCUGCAAUGUGUAGUGCAUACAAGAGAAUAGUCAAGGUCUGCUCCCCACUAGUAUGGAAACCAGAAAUCCUUCUGAAAUUGCUGUACUUGCCAAAGCCUUACGACAAACUGAUUGAAUGUAUUAGAUUGGUUGUUGACAAAUUUGGUCGGAGUUUUAUAUGUGUGGAUGACAAUGAUGAUCAAAACAGCUUUCUUAGAAAAUCUGAAGGAUUUGAGUUGCCAAAAGCCGGCCAGAAAAGAAUAGCUCAGAACCAGGAAAAUAAUUCCUCGAAGCGUCAAAAGAUGUCAGAAUCAAGAUUUUCUGUUGGUUCAUUUAUCACUACUGAAUUUUCUGCUGGCAUUGGAUAUGAAGUAGCAAAUGAUUAUGCCUAUGAUUUUCGACUGUCAGUAGAGUCACAUAUUAAGUUCUUGUCACCUGACAAUCACAAAGCUUAUCCAUUGGAGCCUGACAUUGCUAUACAAGUGCUUAGUCUUCUUUGUCUUUCAUUCGGUGUGAAUCCAGAGACAGGUCUGUUUAUUAGAAUUUCUAAGCAAGUUCUCUCCUGGAUCCCUUGGAUCUGCAAACAGGCAACCAAGAAAUGUUUGUUUUCCUUUGACAUAUCACUAUAUCUUGAAGCUCUUCAUGUUGUAAUGCUUCUCCAAUCCUUUCAUCCUGGAGACAUUAAACUGCUUGGAAAUGACGCUCAGUUGAUUGGUGAGAGUAGUGCCGAUUUAAUUCAUUCAAUAUACGUUGAUCUCAUCAGCUUGGUGAAAUGGGUGUGGUCUGAUGGCCAUGUUUCCGCUGAAGCAUGUUCAGACUGGAAAUUAAAAUGCCUUUUGGUACAAGUUAUUGCUACAAUUAGCAACAGAUUGAAUGCUGAAUGUGACCUUGAAGUCCUUGAACUGGCUAUGCAUAGUGAAACUGUGGAGGUUCAAAAUGAAGCUCUUAUGUCACUACCCAUUAUCGUACUGUACUCUGGCCCUAGGAUGCUUGGAGUGAUGUUCAGGAAACUCGAGUCUGUUGGUACUUUAGGACUUGAGAAAGUGUGGAAAAGUAUUGCCUUUUCACUUGGUUUUCUAUCUUGUUUAAAUGGAAACACUAAUGCCACUGACAAAGUGGGGAAUCAUUGCAAGCUGUUCUUGGACAAACACUUUAGACAACCAGUCUCGACAUCAGAUCUUCUCUUAAGAGGUUUCAGGUGCCCUCGGUGUGAUAUCAGAGCCGUUCACACUAAAGAGCAACUUUCUGUUGUGGACAUUGCAGUAUUACAAGAUGAGAAUGUCGACUUCAAGCUUAACAUGUCCAAGGCCCACUUUCUUUUCUUCAAGUUCCUCUAUGCAGAUACUUCCAAAGAAUGUACAAUCUCUAUGGUUGAAGUUUUGCCACGAAUAUUGAGACAUUCUAGCAGGGAGGUUCUACUUGCGACGAAAAUUGAGUGGGUAAAAUGUAUUGAUUUUCUACUACUUCAUGGACUGAAAGCUGUCAGAGAUGCAUUUUCUGGUGUAGUAUCCUGCUUUUUGGAAAAUAGUGUCAUGGACAUUUUGUUUUCAGAUGGGCUGGGAAUGAAUGGAGGGACCAAAGAACUUAACUUCUUGGACAAAAUUAAGCAUGCUUUCACGGAAGCUGAAGAUUCUCACGUUCUCCUGACUCUUUUGGAAUCAACUGCUACAAUUAUGAAGGCUAGUGAUACUCAAGGAGAAGUAUUUUUUGGCUCAUUUGUAUUGCUUAUUGCUCAGCUUGAUAACCAUGAUCACAUCAUAAAGAUGGCCACAUCACGAUUACUUCACAGAUGCUGCAUUUACUGUUUUGAAGGAGGAAUAGAAGUCUUCCUCUCGAAGCACUUCCGUGUUAGAGAUAAUCUGUAUGAUUAUCUGUCAUCUAGACUUUUGACUCAUCCCAGAAUGAUUAGUGAAUUUGCUGAAGCUAUUAUUGGGGUUAAGACUGAAGAGCUGAUUAGGAGAAUGGUUCCAUCAGUUAUACCAAAGCUUAUCGUGUCUCACCCAAACAAUGACCAAGUAGUUAUUACUCUGGAUGAACUGGCAAACCAUCUAAACACUGGACUAGUACCGUUAAUUGUUAAUCAAUUGCCUAAAGUUCUCUCUUUCACUCUUUUUUAUGAAGACGGGCAGCAUUUGCCAUCUGUUCUACAGUUUUAUCACACUGAAACGGGAACUGAUACCAAAGAGAUAUUUGCAGCUGCUUUGCCAGCACUACUUGAUGAAAUUGUUUGUUUUCCUGGGGAAUCUGAUCAGACAGAGACAGAUAGAAGGACAACAAGAAUUUCACCAACAAUACAGAAUAUCGCAAGAAUUUUGACAGGCAAUGACACCCUUCCCGAGUUUUUGAAGAACGAUUUUGUCAGACUUCUAAAUAGCAUUGACAAGAAGAUGCUUCGUUCUGAUGACACGAAGCUUCAAAAACUAGCUCUCCAGCGUAUUCGGAAGUUAGUUGAGAUGAUGGGCCCUUAUUUGAGCACACAUGCACCAAAGAUUAUGGUUCUGUUGAUUUUUUCCAUUGAUAAGGAAGCUCUUCAAAUGGAUGGUCUUGACGUGUUACAUUUUUUCAUAAAGCAAUUGACUGAGGUAUCGCCGACCAGUAUCAAGUAUGUCAUGUCUCAAGUUGUAGCUGCUUUCAUUCCGUCUUUAGAAAGAUGCAGAGAAUGCCCUUUUGCGCACCUGAGCAAAAUUGUUGAAAUCUUAGAAGAACUUGUUCUGAAAAACAGUAUCUUGCUUAAACAACAUAUACGUGAAUUGCCGCUGUUGCCUAGCUUACCAUCUUUGUCAGGAGUAAACAAAGUAAUACAGGAAGCCAGAGGAAUAAUGACUCUGCAAGAUCAUCUAAAGGAUGCUGUUGAUGGUCUUAAUCACGAGAGCUUGAAUGUGCGGUACAUGGUAGCAUGUGAGUUGAGUAAGUUACUCAAGACCAGAAGGGAGGAUAUUACUGCCCUUAUAAUUGGUGAAGAUGUUGCUGAUUUGGAUGUAAUAAGCGCUUUAAUUAUGACUUUACUUAAAGGUUGUGCUGAGGAAUCAAGGACAACUGUUGGCCAGAGAUUGAAACUGGUUUGUGCAGAUUGUCUUGGUGCACUGGGCGCAGUUGAUCCUGCUAAGUUUAAGGUAAUUUCAUCUGAGCGCUUUAAGAUUGAAUGUUCAGACGAUGAUCUUAUAUUUGAGUUGAUCCACAAGCAUCUUGCAAGGGCAUUCAGAGCUGCUUCUGACACUAUGGUACAAGAUUCUGCUGCCUUCGCUAUUCAAGAGCUGCUAAAAUUGGCAGGCUGUCAAUCUUUACCUAACGAAGAUAACGGGAAUGACCCAAGUAGUUGUGAGACGAGCAAAAGGGGCCAGAAGUUGUGGGGACGUUUUUCUGGUUAUGUUAAGGAAAUAAUCGCACCGUGCUUGACAUCAAGAUUUCAGCUUCCUAACGUGAAUGAUGCUGCUUUACCCAGCUCAAUAUACCGCCCAACAAUGUCUUUUAGAAGGUGGCUAUAUUACUGGAUUAGAAAGUUGACGUCACAUGCAACUGGGUCGCGUUGUGGUAUUUUCAGUGCAUGCCGGGGAAUUAUUCGGUAUGACAUGCCAACUGCGCUGUAUCUCCUACCUUACUUGGUUUUAAAUGUUGUUUGCUAUGGAACCCCAGAGGCUCGCCAAAGUAUUACCGAGGAAAUCUUGUCUGUUCUCAAUGCAGCUGCUUCAGAAAGUAGUGAGGCUAUUGUUCAUGGAAUCACUCAGGGACAGAGUGAGGUUUGUAUUCAAGCUAUCUUCACGUUACUUGAUAAUCUUGGGCAAUGGGUUGAUGACCUCAAACAGGAAAUCGCUCUAUCCCAGCCUAGUCAUGUCAUGGCUGGAAAGGAGGCAGGUAAAUCGAAAGAGGAAAACCACUCCCAUUCUAUUUAUGUCCAAGAUCAAUUACUAGUGCAGUGUAGCAAUGUUGCUGAGCUGUUGGCUGCUAUACCUAAAGUUACUCUGGCUAAAACAUCUUUUAGAUGUCAAGCUUAUGCCCGUGCUCUAACAUAUUUUGAAUCUCAUGUCCGAGAGAAAUCUGGGUCCUCCAAUCCAGCUGCAGAAUGUAGUGGCACUUUUUCAGAUGAUGACAUCUCUUUUCUGAUGGAAAUAUAUGGUGGAUUGGAUGAGCCUGAUGGUCUCUUAGGUUUAGCUAAUCUGAGGAAAUCAUCAAACCUACAAGAUCAACUUAUCAUCAAUGAGAAAGCUGGAAAUUGGGCUGAAGUGCUAACACUAAGUGAACAGGCCUUGCAAAUGGAACCUGAUUCUGUCCAUAGACAUUGUGAUGUCCUCAAUUGUUUUCUAAACAUGUGCCACCUUCAAGCCAUGGUCGCACAUGUGGAUGGUUUGGUGUACAGGAUACCUCAGUAUAAGAAAACUUGGUGCAUGCAAGGAGUACAAGCAGCUUGGAGAUUAGGGAGAUGGGAUCUCAUGGAUGAGUACCUACCUGAGGCGGACAAAGGUCUGGUGUGCAGCACUUCUGAGAACAAUGCUUCUUUUGACAUGGGUCUUGCUAAGAUAUUCAAGGCAAUGAUGAACAAAGAUCAGUAUAUGGUUGCUGAAAAGAUUGCCCAGUCCAAGCAAGCAUUGCUUGUACCAUUGGCUGCAGCAGGCAUGGACUCAUACAUGCGUGCAUAUCCUUAUGUUGUAAAGCUGCACAUGCUAUGCGAGCUGGAAGACUUCAACACCCUGCUGGGAGAUGAGUCAUUUCUUGAUAAAUCAUUCCGUGCAGAUGAUCCAAAUUUUCUUAAAUUAACAACAGACUGGGAAAACCGUCUUAGAUGUACACAAUCCUCUCUGUGGGCAAGGGAGCCUUUGCUUGCUUUCCGAAGAAUGGUUUAUAAUCUGAGUCAUAUGAAUGCUCAAGUUGGGAACUGCUGGCUUCAGUAUGCUAAGCUCUGCCGCUUGGCAGGUCAUUAUGAGACAGCCCACCAUGCAAUACUGGAAGCAGAUGCUUCAGGUGCUCCUAAUGCUCACAUGGAGAAGGCAAAACACCUCUGGAAUAUACGGAAAUCUGAUAGCGCUAUAGCUGAACUUCAGCAAACACUUCUGAACAUGCCUGCAGAGGUUUUGGGAAAUGCUGUCCUUUCUUCUCUUUGUAGCCUUUCUCUUGCUUUACCAAAUGCACCUGUCUCUGCGACACAAGCAUCAAAAGAGAAUCCAGAUGUAUCUAAAACCCUUCUUCUUUAUACUAGAUGGAUCCACAACACAGGGCAAAAACAGAGUGAGGAUAUCAAAUCUCACUACAAUAGAGUAACAGAGUUGCGGCCCAAGUGGGAAAAGGGUUUCUUCUGCAUGGCCAAGUUUUUGGACGAUUUGCUUGUUGAUGCCAGGAAGCGCCAGGAAGAUAAAAGAUUCACAUCUGGGGUUGUAGCUGUCCCUCCUAGCUCUGCUGGCUCUUCAAAGGCCCCAGCUGAAGAGAAGCCUUGGUGGGAUUCACUUCCAACUGUCGCACUGUGUUAUGCAAAAGGACUUCACAAAGGACACAAGAAUCUUUUCCAAGCACUACCACGACUACUUACUCUUUGGUUUGAAUUUGGAAACAUAUACAACCAAGCUUCCUCCGAUGCAAUGAAAAACAUUCAUCAUAGGAUGAUAGGCAUCAUGCGUGGGUGCUUGAAGGAUCUGCCAACUUAUCAGUGGCUAACUGUGCUGUCUCAGUUGAUAUCUCGCAUCUGUCAUCAGAAUGCUGAAGUUGUCAAAUCUGUCAAACGCAUUAUCACGUCUGUUUUACAGGCAUACCCUCAGCAAGCACUUUGGAUGAUGGCUGCAUUGUCAAAGUCAACAGUUUCUGCAAGACGAGAUGCUGCCGCAGAAAUAUUACAAUCAGCAAAGAAGAGCUGUCGGCGUGGGAGUGACAAUGGUGCACUGUUUGUUCAGUUUCCUUCUUUAAUAGAACAUCUGAUUAAGCUGUGUUUUCAUCCAGGGCAGCCCAAGGCAAGGGCAAUAAAUAUCUCAACAGAGUUCAGUGCGUUGAAACGAAUGAUGCCACUAGGAAUUAUCUUACCUGUCCAGCAGGCUCUAACUGUAACCCUGCCAUCAUACGACUCAAAUAUGUCAGAUCAAUCUAGUUUUCACCCCUUUUCAGUCUCAGAGCAUCCUACGAUAGCUGGAAUAGCCGACGAUGCAGAGAUCCUUUCCUCUCUUCAGAAACCAAAGAAGGUCGUGUUCCUCGGAAGUGAUGGAGUUCCUCGCCCAUUUCUAUGCAAACCAAAGGAUGAUCUUAGGAAGGAUGCACGCAUGAUGGAGUUCAAUGCCAUGAUCAACCGUCUCCUCUCCAAAGUACCUGAGAGCCGCAGGAGAAAGCUUUAUAUCAGAACCUUCGCUGUGGUUCCACUUACAGAAGAUUGUGGAAUGGUAGAAUGGGUGCCCAACACUCGUGGUCUUCGGCAAAUUCUUCAGGACAUCUAUAUAACUUGUGGGAAGUAUGACAGGGUGAAAACCAACGCGCAUAUCAAGAGGAUAUAUGAUGUUUGUCAUGCUAGUAAAAUUCAUGAAGAUGUGAUGCUGAAAACUAAAAUCCUUCCAAUGUUCCCCCCAGUUUUCCACAAAUGGUUCUUGAUGACAUUCUCUGAACCAGCUGCAUGGUUUCGUGCCAGAGUGGCAUAUGCACAUACCACUGCAGUUUGGUCAAUGGUUGGGCAUAUUGUUGGGCUUGGUGACAGACACGGUGAAAACAUCCUCUUCGACUCGACAACUGGGGACUGUGUUCAUGUGGAUUUCAGUUGCUUGUUUGAUAAAGGUUUGCAGCUUGAGAAGCCUGAGGUGGUGCCAUUUAGGCUUACACAAAACAUGAUUGAUGGCUUGGGCAUCGCUGGAUAUGAAGGUGUCUUUCUGAAAGUCUGUGAAAUUACUCUAUCGGUUCUCAGGACUCACAAGGAGGCACUCAUGACCGUUCUUGAGACCUUUAUCCAUGAUCCACUAGUUGAGUGGACCAAAUCCCAUAAAUCUAGCGGAGUGGAAGUCCGGAAUCCACAUGCUCAGAGGGCUAUCUCUAACAUCACGGAGAGGCUCCAGGGAGUCGUCGUAGGCGUCAAUGCUGCUCCCUCUCUGCCACUUUCUGUGGAAGGCCAAGCGCGGCGCCUAAUUGCUGAAGCAGUUUCGCACAAAAACCUUGGCAAGAUGUACAUCUGGUGGAUGCCUUGGUUCUAAUCUGACAGGCAUGUGGGCUCAAUCAAUCAACUAUGUGGUGUAAAAUAUACUCUGAAGGUCCAACUAAAUUCUACAGCAUGGAGUAGCACUACAACUCUAAACUGACCCUUGGAAGCCUCAAUCUUGGCAUGGCACCGGAUUGUGUAGAGUGCUGGUUGAAUCACAAACAAUAGUAAGAGGGAAUAGGCAAAAAGGAUGACAGGAGGUAAUGAUGCUUCUGCUGGACAUAAAGUGUGGAUUCACCAAGGUGAAGCUGGAUCCUCUGUGACUGAGCUUAGCUGAAGCUGGUGUCCCAUCUUCAUCACCUGAGACUCUGGUUUGCAUCGUUUGGCUCCUCGUUUCAAGUUCUCAACCGCAGGAGAUCCCAACCCAGCUCUCUGUGGGGUGGGCCCUGGUGAGUGUGGCGAGGUUUGACCCACAGGAGGGGCGUGUCUGAACCGGAAACGGCUUUGGGGAGGCAGCAGCGACUGUGUCAGGGUUGCCCUGCUCAUCGAUGCAACUCUCUGCAGAGUGGGCCCCCUACUGGUGCCCCCACGUGUCCUCCAUCGGCCAUGGCCCCCAUCUGGUGGCCAUCUGUGAUUCUGUGGUGGCGCCAUGGACGGAUGGGUUACUGGUGGUGGUGAUUGAUGGUGAGCACAGUCCUCCACGUCAGCUCAUGGACCUGUGGUAAGAUUGUCACUGCACCUGGGAUCGUUGCUAAUCACCGGCUGAUGGACUGGAGCUGGUAACAAAGUUCACUUUGGCAAGUCUUUUUCGAGUGUGUGUGAAGUCCAACAUGUUGGACUAAUGUACUACUACUAUCUAAUUUGCUGGCCAAGAGAGAGGUAUAUAGAUUCGAGCUAGCUCAAGUUUGUAUCAUACUGGUAAGAUAAUCUUACUUUAGCUAACGACUAACAAAAUCCUCUGCUAGGUUGAUCUCAAGAUCAGGCCAGCUCUAGUUAAUCUCUAGCUAGCUCAAGCUCAAUUCAUCAAUACAUCAUGCAUGCAUAUCGUCCAGCUGAA
RNA transcript from Brachypodium distachyon (stiff brome), 9293 nucleotides. It is a transcript of the gene named serine/threonine-protein kinase ATR, with no coding region annotated. Lineage: Eukaryota; Viridiplantae; Streptophyta; Magnoliopsida; Poales; Poaceae. The transcript has 18 exons. The record is from RefSeq and is a predicted model, not a curated record.